CGGGGUGAGUAAUGUCUGGGAAACUGCCUGAUGGAGGGGGAUAACUACUGGAAACGGUAGCUAAUACCGCAUAACGUCGCAAGACCAAGAGGGGGACCUCGGGCCUCUUGCCAUCGGAUGUGCCCAGAUGGGAUUAGCUAGUAGGUGGGGUAACGGCUCACCUAGGCGACGAUCCCUAGCUGGUCUGAGAGGAUGACCAGCCACACUGGAGCUGAGACACGGUCCAG
RNAcentral lists this ribosomal RNA (227 nucleotides) under uncultured bacterium. RNAcentral's name for it is "partial 16S ribosomal RNA". It matches the Rfam family "Bacterial small subunit ribosomal RNA", at positions 104 to 334 of the family's 1533-position model. The record is from RNAcentral.